UACGAAUCGUCCUAACGUUGUUCGGAUUCACUGGGUUUAAAGGGUGCGUAGGCGGUGCGUUAAGUCGGUGGUGAAAUACUUCGGCUCAACCGGAGAAUUGCCGCUGAAACUGGCGUGCUCGAGGGAGGUAGAGGUGCAUGGAACUUCCGGUGGAGCGGUGAAAUGCGUUGAUAUCGGAAGGAACACCUGUGGCGAAAGCGGUGCACUGGACCUCUUCUGACGCUGAGGCACGAAAGCCAGGGGAGCGAACGGG
Molecule: ribosomal RNA, 253 nt
Filed under: uncultured bacterium
Lineage: Bacteria
Description: partial 16S ribosomal RNA
Rfam family: Bacterial small subunit ribosomal RNA
Source: RNAcentral